GUUUGAUCAUGGCUCAGAUUGAACGCUGGCGGCAGGCCUAACACAUGCAAGUCGAGCGGAUGAAGAGAGCUUGCUCUCUGAUUCAGCGGCGCACGGGUGAGUAACACGUGGGAACCUGCCCUGGAGUGGGGGAUAACCCGGCGAAAGCCGGGCUAAUACCGCAUACGACCUGAGGGUGAAAGAUUUAUCGCUCUAGGAGGGGCCCGCGUCGGAUUAGCUAGUUGGUGGGGUAACGGCUCACCAAGGCUUCGAUGGGUAGCUGGUCUGAGAGGACGAUCAGCCACACUGGGACUGAGACACGGCCCAGACUCCUACGGGAGGCAGCAGUGGGGAAUCUUGCGCAAUGCGCGAAAGCGUGACGCAGCAACGCCGCGUGCGGGAAGACGGCCUUCGGGUUGUAAACCGCUUUCAGUUGGGACGAAGCCUUUGCGGUGAAUAGCCGUGGAGGGUGACGGUACCUUCAGAAGAAGCCCCGGCUAACUACGUGCCAGCAGCCGCGGUAAA
Molecule: ribosomal RNA, 504 nt
Filed under: uncultured bacterium
Lineage: Bacteria
Description: bacterial SSU rRNA
Rfam family: Bacterial small subunit ribosomal RNA
Source: RNAcentral